Molecule: ribosomal RNA, 460 nt
Filed under: uncultured bacterium
Lineage: Bacteria
Description: partial 16S ribosomal RNA
Rfam family: Bacterial small subunit ribosomal RNA
Source: RNAcentral
CCUACGGGCGGCAGCAGUGAGGAAUAUUGGUCAAUGGGCUUACGCCUGAACCAGCCAAGUCGCGUGAGGGAAGACUGCCCUAUGGGUUGUAAACCUCUUUUGUCAGGGAGCAAUUGGCGCUACGUGUAGCGUUAUCGAGAGUACCUGAAGAAAAAGCAUCGGCUAACCCCGUGCCAGCAGCCGCGGUAAUACGGAGGAUGCGAGCGUUAUCCGGUUUUAUUGGGUUUAAAGGGUGCGUAGGCGGAAUGCCAAGUCAGCGGUAAAAUCGCGGGGCUCAACCUCGCUCCGCCGUUGAAACUGGCGGUCUUGAGUGGGCGAGAAGUAUGCGGAAUGCGUGGUGUAGCGGUGAAAUGCAUAGAUAUCACGCAGAACUCCGAUUGCGAAGGCAGCAUACCGGCGCCCAACUGACGCUGAAGCACGAAAGCGUGGGUAUCGAACAGGAUUAGAUACCCCUGUAGUC